GCCUCCUUAGCUCAAUCGGUAGAGCAUGCGGCUGUUAACCGCAGGGUCGUAGGUUCGAGUCCUACAGGAGGCGCCA
This 76-nucleotide transfer RNA is filed under the name Oscillospiraceae bacterium. Its description in RNAcentral is "tRNA-Asn". It matches the Rfam family "tRNA". Rfam says of the family: Transfer RNA (tRNA) molecules are approximately 80 nucleotides in length. Lineage: Bacteria; Bacillati; Bacillota; Clostridia; Eubacteriales; Oscillospiraceae. The record is from RNAcentral.